AGGAUCAUUACCGAAUUGUCAACACGAGUUGUUGCUGGUCCUCGAAUGGGGGCAUGUGCACGCUCUGUUUGUACAUCCACUCACACCUGUGCACCCUCCAUAGUUCUGCAGCCUGGGGGCUCUGUCCCCCCUGCUGUGGCCCUAUGUAUUUACACAUACACACUGUAAUGAAGUCUCAUGGAAUGUGUGACGCGUUUAACGCAGUACAAUACAACUUUCAGCAACGGAUCUCUUGGCUCUCGCAUCGAUGAAAAACGCAGCGAAAUGCGAUAAGUAAUGUGAAUUGCAGAAUUCAGUGAAUCAUCGAAUCUUUGAACGCACCUUGCGCCCUUUGGCUAUUCCGAAGGGCAUGCCUGUUUGAGUAUCAUGAACACCUCAACUCUCAUGGCUUGCCAUGAUGAGCUUGGACCAUGGGGGUCUUGCUGGCCUGCAGUCGGCUCCCCUCAAAUGAAUCAGCUUGCCAGUGUUUGGUGGCGUCACAGGUGUGAUAACUAUCUACGCUUGUGGCUUUCCGCCAGGUAACCUUCAGCAAUGGAGGUUCGCUGGGGCUCAUAAAUGUCUCUCCUCAGUGAGGACAGCUCUUUGAACGUUUGAUCUCAAAUCAGGUAGGACUACCCGCUGAACUUAA
RNAcentral lists this ribosomal RNA (628 nucleotides) under uncultured Thelephoraceae. RNAcentral's name for it is "eukaryotic LSU rRNA". The stretch from base 213 to 367 matches the Rfam family "5.8S ribosomal RNA". Lineage: Eukaryota; Fungi; Basidiomycota; Agaricomycetes; Thelephorales; Thelephoraceae. The record is from RNAcentral.